Molecule: ribosomal RNA, 1321 nt
Filed under: Colletotrichum truncatum
Lineage: Eukaryota; Fungi; Ascomycota; Sordariomycetes; Glomerellales; Glomerellaceae
Description: SSU rRNA
Rfam family: Eukaryotic small subunit ribosomal RNA
Source: RNAcentral
CCUAGUUAAUUCUACUAAUAGUCAUAUGCUUAUCUCAAAGAUUAAGCCAUACAUAUCUAAGUAUAAGCAAUUAUAUAGCAAAACUAUAAAUAGCUUAUUAUAUAAGUUAUCGUUUAUUUAAUAAUACCUUACUACUUAGAUAACUAUAGUAAUUCUAAAGCUAAUAUAUACUAAAAAUCCCGACUUUAGAAAAGAUAUAUUUAUUAGAUUAAAAACUAAUACCUUUUAAGGCUUACUAGUAAUUUAUAAUAACUUCUCGAAUCGCAUAGCCUUACGCCGGCAAUAGUUUAUUUAAAUUUCUUCCCUAUUAACUUUCGAUACUAAAGUAGUAUUCUAGCAUAGUUAUAAUAGGUAACAGAGGGUUAAGGCUUAACCCCGGAGAAGGAGCCUAAGAAACAGCUACUAUAUCUAAGGAAGGUAGUAAGUAUAUAAAUUACCUAAUCCCGACUCGGGGAGGUAGUAAUAAUAAAUACUAAUAUAAGGCUUUUUUAAGUCUUAUAAUUAAAAUAAGUAUAAUUUAAAUCCCUUAACGAGGAAUAAUUAGAAGGCAAGUCUAGUACUAGCAGCCGCGGUAAUUCUAGCUUUAAUAAUAUAUAUUAAAGUUAUUAUAAUUAAAAAGCUUGUAGUAAAACCUUAGGCCUAGCUAGCCGGUCUGCCUUACCGCGUAUACUAGCUCUUAGCUAGGCCUUUCCCUCUACUAAAAACCGCAUACCCUUUACUAGGUAUGCCGGGGAAAUAAGACUUUUACUUUAAAAAAAUUAGAAUACUCUAGGCAAGCCUAUACUUAAAUACAUUAGCAUAGAAUAAUAAAAUAAGACAUAUAGUUCUAUUUUAUUAGUUUCUAAAACCGCUAUAAUAAUUAAUAAGGAUAGUCGGAGGUAUUAGUAUUUAAUUAUUAGAGGUAAAAUUCUUAGAUUUAUUAAAAACUAACUACUACGAAAGCAUUUACUAAGGAUAUUUUUAUUUAUUAGGAACGAAAGUUAGGGGAUUAAAGACGAUUAGAUACCGUCGUAAUCUUAACUAUAAACUAUACCGACUAGGGAUCGGACGAUGUUAUUUUUUGACUCGUUCGGCACCUUACGAGAAAUCAAAGUGCUUGGGCUCCAGGGGGAGUAUGGUCGCAAGGCUGAAACUUAAAGAAAUUGACGGAAGGCACCACCAGGGGUGGAGCCUGCGGCUUAAUUUGACUCAACACGGGGAAACUCACCAGGUCCAGACACAAUGAGGAUUGACAGAUUGAGAGCUCUUUCUUGAUUUUGUGGGUGGUGGUGCAUGGCCGUUCUUAGUUGGUGGAGUGAUUUGUCUGCUAAUUGCGAUAACG